AAUUAUGUGAGGAUAUUUUGGGUACAAAAAGUUCAUUCUGGAUUGAUCAUUCCCAAACCCACUUCCUCCCUUAGUAUUAUAAAUUCCGGUUAUCAAGGAAUCAAUUCUGGGUUUGAAGGUGGGACCCACAGCAACUCAUAUUCCACCAUGAGCAAGUAAACAUUAAUUCUUUUAUCCCGUAAUCAUUCCCACAUAUUUCAAUUCUAUUCCAGAUAAAUAAAUGUGUCAUAAACAUAAUGACCGAAAGGGGAAACGUUUGGUUUCAUUUGGAUCGGUGCAGCGUCUGUUGUGUCAGCCGGAGGAAUCUAAUGUGGUGUAAAUCAAAAGCCAGUUGGGUUUGAAGGCUUGCGGGGACAAUAAUUUCAUAUCAAAUUUUAUAAAUUACUUGCUUCAAUUAGAGUCUCUCAAAGUUGGCCGUUGUUAGGUGGACGAAGACAGAGGCGUCAAGGAAGCCGAAUGUCAAUGAGAAGGCAUGCAGUGCUGGUGGCAGGGUGACACGUGUUAUUGAAGCUGGAAAGGCUAGAUGCUUAGAUCCUCCGGUCGGCCUAAUCUGAACAAAAAUAAGGGGUUUGGCUCAUUUUUUAGGCCUUGCCUUAGGUUUUAUUUUAUUUAUGUUUUAAUUCAUUUAUAUUAUUUAAUUCAUUUACGUCUUAGACGAACAAUGAACCCCUAUAUUUUUUGUGCUUGUUAGAAUAACUAUCAGAUGUAGAGAAUGUUGAUGUUAUAUCGCAACAUAUGCUUAUUUCCACAAAAACAAGGAUUUAGACUUAAUGCCUUUAAGUUGUAUUUUACAGUUUGAUUAAUUAUUAAUCGAAUCUAAAUGGAGCCGCCCAGCUCUUUAUUUAAAAGAUAAAUACGUAUUUAAGCAGCGGUCGGUUUCUUCUACCAAGUUUUCCAAAAAUGGCAACUUUGGUUAUUUGGUGGAAAACGGAACCCCUUUCCUAGGUGAGAGGUUGAAGAGUCAACGUAUCCUCUCUUUUUUUGGUCAAACAACGUAUCCUCUUUGGUAAAUAAACCUUGAGAUAGAAUAAGGCUACAGUAGUUGGACUCUCCGUACGACAAGC
Molecule: long non-coding RNA, 1064 nt
Filed under: Fragaria vesca (wild strawberry)
Lineage: Eukaryota; Viridiplantae; Streptophyta; Magnoliopsida; Rosales; Rosaceae
Description: long non-coding RNA (FVES_LNC001251)
Source: RNAcentral